This 381-nucleotide ribosomal RNA is filed under the name uncultured eukaryote. RNAcentral describes it as "partial 18S ribosomal RNA". It matches the Rfam family "Eukaryotic small subunit ribosomal RNA", at positions 592 to 976 of the family's 1831-position model. The record is from RNAcentral.
CAAUAGCGUAUAUUAAAGCUGUUGCGGUUAAAAAGCUCGUAGUUGGAUUUCUGUCAAGGACAACUGGUCCGCCCCUCGGGUGAGCACAUAGUUUGGUCUUGGCAUCUUGUUGGAAACUGUUGCUGCACUUGGUUGUGUGGCGCAGUGUCCCGCACUUUCACUUUGAGGAAAUUGGAGUGUUUCAAGCAGGCACAUGCCUUUGGACACAGUAGCAUGGAAUAAUUAGAUUGGGCUUUUGCUCCAACUUGUCGGUUUCUGGAGCUGAGGUGAGAAUUAAUGGGGAUUGUUGGGGGCAUCCGAAUUUAGCCGUCAGAGGUGAAAUUCUUGGAUCUGCUAAAGACGGACAACUGCGAAAGCGUUUGCCCAGGAUGUUUUCAUUGA